AUAGAGAUGGGCACGCGCAAGAUUAGAUAGUUGGUGAGGUAACGGCUCACCAAGUCAGCGAUCUUUAGGGGGCCUGAGAGGGUGAUCCCCCACACUGGUACUGAGACACGGACCAGACUCCUACGGGAGGCAGCAGUGAGGAAUAUUGGACAAUGGGUGAGAGCCUGAUCCAGCCAUCCCGCGUGAAGGACGACGGCCCUAUGGGUUGUAAACUUCUUUUGUAUAGGGAUAAACCUAGAUACGUGUAUCUAGCUGAAGGUACUAUACGAAUAAGCACCGGCUAACUCCGUGCCAGCAGCCGCGGUAAUACGGAGGGUGCAAGCGUUAUCCGGAUUUAUUGGGUUUAAAGGGUCCGUAGGCGGAUCUGUAAGUCAGUGGUGAAAUCUCACAGCUUAACUGUGAAACUGCCAUUGAUACUGCAGGUCUUGAGUGUUGUUGAAGUAGCUGGAAUAAGUAGUGUAGCGGUGAAAUGCAUAGAUAUUACUUAGAACACCAAUUGCGAAGGCAGGUUACUAAGCAACAACUGACGCUGAUGGACGAAAGCGUGGGGAGCGAACAGGAUUAGAUACCCUGGUAGUCCACGCCGUAAACGAUGCUAACUCGUUUUUGGGGCGUAAGCUUCAGAGACUAAGCGAAAGUGAUAAGUUAGCCACCUGGGGAGUACGAACGCAAGUUUGAAACUCAAAGGAAUUGACGGGGGCCCGCACAAGCGGUGGAUUAUGUGGUUUAAUUCGAUGAUACGCGAGGAACCUUACCAAGGCUUAAAUGGGAAAUGACAGGCUUAGAAAUAGGCUUUUCUUCGGACAUUUUUCAAGGUGCUGCAUGGUUGUCGUCAGCUCGUGCCGUGAGGUGUUAGGUUAAGUCCUGCAACGAGCGCAACCCCUGUCACUAGUUGCCAUCAUUAAGUUGGGGACUCUAGUGAGACUGCCUACGCAAGUAGAGAGGAAGGUGGGGAUGACGUCAAAUCAUCACGGCCCUUACGCCUUGGGCCACACACGUAAUACAAUGGCCGGUACAGAGGGCAGCUACACAGCGAUGUGAUGCAAAUCUCGAAAGCCGGUCUCAGUUCGGAUUGGAGUCUGCAACUCGACUCUAUGAAGCUGGAAUCGCUAGUAAUCGCGCAUCAGCCAUGGCGCGGUGAAUACGUUCCCGGGCCUUGUACACACCGCCCGUCAAGCC
This 1179-nucleotide ribosomal RNA is filed under the name Chryseobacterium sp. JA37A. Its description in RNAcentral is "bacterial SSU rRNA". It matches the Rfam family "Bacterial small subunit ribosomal RNA", at positions 219 to 1403 of the family's 1533-position model. Lineage: Bacteria; Pseudomonadati; Bacteroidota; Flavobacteriia; Flavobacteriales; Weeksellaceae. The record is from RNAcentral.